AAGUCGUAACAAGGUAACCGUAGGUGAACCUGCGGUUGGAUCAUUAACAAAAUGAUAAAAGCCCCGGGACUCUUUCCGGGCUUUUAUAAACACUUGUGAACUGUAAUUGUCUCUGGUGGGUUAAAAAAGGGCUAAUCACCUUUGUGAGUUAGUCCCUGGUGUUUUAUAGACACCACCCACCGCUAUUAUUUUAACGUUUAUAAGCCUUUGAAUUUAUUUUUUUUAAUGAUUUUAUUAAAAACAACUUUUGACAACGGAUCUCUAGGCUCUC
RNAcentral lists this unclassified non-coding RNA (271 nucleotides) under fungal sp. RNAcentral describes it as "partial internal transcribed spacer region". The stretch from base 1 to 46 matches the Rfam family "Eukaryotic small subunit ribosomal RNA", at positions 1786 to 1831 of the family's 1831-position model. Lineage: Eukaryota; Fungi. The record is from RNAcentral.